RNAcentral lists this long non-coding RNA (278 nucleotides) under Cicer arietinum (chickpea). RNAcentral's name for it is "long non-coding RNA (CARI_LNC002753)". The record is from RNAcentral. Lineage: Eukaryota; Viridiplantae; Streptophyta; Magnoliopsida; Fabales; Fabaceae.
GGCGAAACAACGUCUGGAGGGGGAGAAAUCGUGCUCGCAUAGCACAUAUUAACCCUAAUUUAUUUUGUCUCAGUGAUUGUGUUUGUCGUAUUUUCCUGUCAUUAUUUGUUAUGGCUGGUGUUAAGGAUAAUUCUCUUCAAGCACAUUGGAAAACACAUUGUCCGAAAUUGGGGAGAGCACAUAAGAAGAAUUUUAGGGGGCCAUCGUCCAAUGUUGUUGCUUCUGCUCCUCCUACCAUUGGCUUUAGUUCUGGUUCUGUAUACUCAUAUGAGACUGCU